RNAcentral lists this ribosomal RNA (496 nucleotides) under uncultured bacterium. RNAcentral describes it as "partial 16S ribosomal RNA". It matches the Rfam family "Bacterial small subunit ribosomal RNA", at positions 29 to 507 of the family's 1533-position model. The record is from RNAcentral.
AUGAACGCUGGCGGCGUGCCUAAUACAUGCAAGUCGAGCGAACAGACGAGGAGCUUGCUCCUCUGACGUUAGCGGCGGACGGGUGAGUAACACGUGGAUAACCUACCUAUAAGGCUGGGAUAACUUCGGGAAACCGGAGCUAAUACCGGAUAAUAUAUUGAACCGCAUGGUUCAAUAGUGAAAGACGGUUUUGCUGUCACUUAUAGAUGGAUCCGCGCCGCAUUAGCUAGUUGGUAAGGUAACGGCUUACCAAGGCGACGAUGCGUAGCCGACCUGAGAGGGUGAUCGGCCACACUGGAACUGAGACACGGUCCAGACUCCUACGGGAGGCAGCAGUAGGGAAUCUUCCGCAAUGGGCGAAAGCCUGACGGAGCAACGCCGCGUGAGUGAUGAAGGUCUUCGGAUCGUAAAACUCUGUUAUUAGGGAAGAACAAAUGUGUAAGUAACUAUGCACGUCUUGACGGUACCUAAUCAGAAAGCCACGGCUAACUACGUG